This 199-nucleotide long non-coding RNA is filed under the name Vitis vinifera (wine grape). RNAcentral's name for it is "long non-coding RNA (VVIN_LNC007567)". The record is from RNAcentral. Lineage: Eukaryota; Viridiplantae; Streptophyta; Magnoliopsida; Vitales; Vitaceae.
GGGAGUUGUAUACAUGACUUAUUUAAUAAUUUGUGUUUUCUUAUACUUUGGUCAUUUCUGUUAUAAUAUUUAGAUACCAUGCAUGAUAGGAUUUCUUUUCUUUAUUGUUUGUUAUUAAAACUUUGAUCUAACCUCUCAUGUCUUAUGGAAGCACAUUGUAAGCUAUUUAUGCUAUUCAGGUAUGCUUUUUAUCUUUGCA